CGGCGUGCCUAAUACAUGCAAGUCGAGCGAGCGGAACUAACAGAUUUACUUCGGUAAUGACGUUAGGAAAGCGAGCGGCGGAUGGGUGAGUAACACGUGGGGAACCUGCCCCAUAGUCUGGGAUACCACUUGGAAACAGGUGCUAAUACCGGAUAAGAAAGCAGAUCGCAUGAUCAGCUUUUAAAAGGCGGCGUAAGCUGUCGCUAUGGGAUGGCCCCGCGGUGCAUUAGCUAGUUGGUAAGGUAAAGGCUUACCAAGGCGAUGAUGCAUAGCCGAGUUGAGAGACUGAUCGGCCACAUUGGGACUGAGACACGGCCCAAACUCCUACGGGAGGCAGCAGUAGGGAAUCUUCCACAAUGGACGCAAGUCUGAUGGAGCAACGCCGCGUGAGUGAAGAAGGUUUUCGGAUCGUAAAGCUCUGUUGUUGGUGAAGAAGGAUAGAGGUAGUAACUGGCCUUUAUUUGACGGUAAUCAACCAGAAAGUCACGGCUAACUACGUGCCAGCAGCCGCGGUAAUACGUAGGUGGCAAGCGUUGUCCGGAUUUAUUGGGCGUAAAGCGAGCGCAGGCGGAAGAAUAAGUCUGAUGUGAAAGCCCUCGGCUUAACCGAGGAACUGCAUCGGAAACUGUUUUUCUUGAGUGCAGAAGAGGAGAGUGGAACUCCAUGUGUAGCGGUGGAAUGCGUAGAUAUAUGGAAGAACACCAGUGGCGAAGGCGGCUCUCUGGUCUGCAACUGACGCUGAGGCUCGAAAGCAUGGGUAGCGAACAGGAUUAGAUACCCUGGUAGUCCAUGCCGUAAACGAUGAGUGCUAAGUGUUGGGAGGUUUCCGCCUCUCAGUGCUGCAGCUAACGCAUUAAGCACUCCGCCUGGGGAGUACGACCGCAAGGUUGAAACUCAAAGGAAUUGACGGGGGCCCGCACAAGCGGUGGAGCAUGUGGUUUAAUUCGAAGCAACGCGAAGAACCUUACCAGGUCUUGACAUCUAGUGUCAUUUGUAGAGAUACAAAGUUCCCUUCGGGGACGCUAAGACAGGUGGUGCAUGGCUGUCGUCAGCUCGUGUCGUGAGAUGUUGGGUUAAGUCCCGCAACGAGCGCAACCCUUGUUAUUAGUUGCCAGCAUUAAGUUGGGCACUCUAAUGAGACUGCCGGUGACAAACCGGAGGAAGGUGGGGAUGACGUCAAGUCAUCAUGCCCCUUAUGACCUGGGCUACACACGUGCUACAAUGGGCAGUACAACGAGAAGCGAGCCUGCGAAGGCAAGCGAAUCUCUGAAAGCUGUUCUCAGUUCGGACUGCAGUCUGCAACUCGACUGCACGAAGCUGGAAUCGCUAGUAAUCGCGGAUCAGCACGCCGCGGUGAAUACGUUCCCGGGCCUUGUACACACCGCCCGUCACACCAUGGGAGUCUGCAAUGCCCAAAGCCGGUGGCCUAACCUUCGGGAAGGAGCCGUCUAAGGCAGGGCAGAUGACUGG
RNAcentral lists this ribosomal RNA (1470 nucleotides) under uncultured organism. Its description in RNAcentral is "16S ribosomal RNA". It matches the Rfam family "Bacterial small subunit ribosomal RNA". The record is from RNAcentral.